Molecule: ribosomal RNA, 492 nt
Filed under: uncultured bacterium
Lineage: Bacteria
Description: partial 16S ribosomal RNA
Rfam family: Bacterial small subunit ribosomal RNA
Source: RNAcentral
AGUGAACGCUGGCGGUAGGCCUAACACAUGCAAGUCGAACGGCAGCACAGUAAGAGCUUGCUCUUACGGGUGGCGAGUGGCGGACGGGUGAGGAAUACAUCGGAAUCUACUUUUUCGUGGGGGAUAACGUAGGGAAACUUACGCUAAUAUCGCAUACGACCUACGGGGGAAAGCAGGGGAUCUUCGGACCUUGCGCGAUUGAAUGAGCCGAUGUCGGAUUAGCUAGUUGGGGGGGUAAAGGCCCACGCAGGCGACGAUACGUAGCUGGUCUGAGAGGAGGGUCGGCCGCACUGGAACGGAGACACGGUCCAGACUCCUACGGGAGGCAGCAGUGGGGAAUAUUGGACAAUGGGGGCAAGCCUGAUCCAGCCAUACCGCGUGGGUGAAGAAGGCGUUCGGGUUGUAAAGCCCUUUUGUUGGGAAAGAAAAGCAGCAGGUUAAUACCCCGCUGUUCUGACGGUACCCAAAGAAUAAGCACCGGCUAACUUCGUG